AGUAUUUUUACUGAUAGAGAUUUUAGCUCCUCCCAAUUCUUGCUUAAAUUAUCCAACUCUUGGGUUAUAAAUUUGCUUUUUAGUGACAGCAUAGCUGCAGCCUGCAGGGUCUCUGAAGAAUGGGUCUUCAUCAGAGGGCAUGUCUCCUGGCAAGGGGGCAUUUGCUGCCUGCUGCCCAGCUCUGAGCAACAGCCCGGAGCCCCUGCUGGCUGCUCUCCGCACCCUGAAGCCGGCUCUGAGUUCGACCAAUGCUCAGCCUUCGCUGGUGCGGCCAGGGCUCUCAUCUGUUGCUUCCAUUUCAGACGCGGAGAGAUUAAGCAAUUAUGGAUUAUUUCAACAUCAGAUGGCCCAAGACAAUUAGUCAGAGGAGAAGCAAAGAAGUGGCCCUGCUGGCUUUUGGUGAAGGGGAAUUUUCAGGCGGAGUUCAAGUUCAAACUUGAACACUUGUACAAAGACUCCUUGGAUGAUCUGCUUGUGAUAUUGGAGCAUUUCCUCCUUGCUGGCCGACACAAUGGCAAGCUUUGUCAGUGAAGAGUGCCGAAGAGACACUGCAGGAGGAAGGGGCUUCUCUCCCAGUUCCAGGGUAAGUUUCUUCCCGCUGGCUUACGUGUCACUCAGCUGUUGUACAGGACACUCAGUGAAGCUCACCCCCAGCAAGUUUUGGUGGCACUUCUGUAGGCACUUUACCUGUGAGUUGUAUGGAUACUCCUUUUUCCUUCCUUUCAUGUGAUGAGUUCAGCAGCAGCCCCCACAGGUGGCUUCCAGGACACUCUUGGGAACAUUCCAGUGAGAAGAGUCUUGCCUACCAUGCAUGGCCACUGGCACUCUGGUGUGAGUUUUCCUGCUUGCCACUUCUCUCCUGCACAUCCCUGACCACCAAUUUGCACAGUAACUGUGGACCCACCUCUGGCUCAGGGCAACCCAGCAAACUUCCCACUUUCGGAUAGUGGGUUGUAUCCAAAUCUCUUCAACAAGGUCUGAAUUUCACAUCUGAGAUCUUGGGUGAUAGCUAAUUGAUCGAGAUGUUCUGCAGAAUGAAAUCGAUGGGCAGCUGCUUAGAAUAUUUUU
RNAcentral lists this long non-coding RNA (1068 nucleotides) under Macaca mulatta (Rhesus monkey). RNAcentral's name for it is "lncRNA (ENSMMUG00000064437.1)". The record is from RNAcentral. Lineage: Eukaryota; Metazoa; Chordata; Mammalia; Primates; Cercopithecidae.